AACGAACGCUGGCGGCAUGCCUAACACAUGCAAGUCGAGCGAGACCAUCGGGUCUAGUGGCGCACUGGGCCGUAACGCGUGGGAACAUGCCCUUAGGUUUGGAAUAACUCCCGGAAUGGGGUGCUAAUACCGGAUAAUGUCUCCGGACCAAAGAUAUAUCGCCUUUGGAUGGGCCCGCGUGGGAUUAGCUGGUGAUGAGGGUAAAAGGCUCCCAAGGGGACGAGACAUAGCUGGUUAGAGAGGAUGGGCACCCACACUGGGACUGAGAGACGGCCGGGACUCCUACGGGAGGGGGCAGUGGGUGAUAUUGGACAGUCGGCUAAAUGCUGAAGCACCACUGACGCGUGAGUGAUGAAGGCCUUAGGGUUGUAAAGCUCUUUUACCCGGGAUGAUAUUGACAGUACCGGCAGAAUAAGCUCCGGCUAACUCCGUG
Molecule: ribosomal RNA, 433 nt
Filed under: uncultured bacterium
Lineage: Bacteria
Description: partial 16S ribosomal RNA
Rfam family: Bacterial small subunit ribosomal RNA
Source: RNAcentral